GUGCUCAGUAGCAGUGCAUAUGCUAAAAGUGGAAUGAUACAGAGGAGAUUAGCUUGACCACUCUGUGCGGAGCACAUGCAAAUUUGUAAAGCAUUCUAUAUUUUU
Molecule: small nuclear RNA, 105 nt
Organism: Vulpes vulpes (red fox)
Lineage: Eukaryota; Metazoa; Chordata; Mammalia; Carnivora; Canidae
Source: Ensembl